Molecule: ribosomal RNA, 260 nt
Filed under: uncultured prokaryote
Description: partial 16S ribosomal RNA
Rfam family: Bacterial small subunit ribosomal RNA
Source: RNAcentral
UACGGAGGAUGCAAGCGUUAUCCGGAUUUAUUAGGUUUAAAGGGUGCGUAGGCGGACUUGUAAGUCAGCGGUGAAAUACUACAGCUUAACUGUAGAACUGCCGUUGAUACUGUGAGUCUUGAGUAUAGUUGAGGUAGGCGGAAUGUGUAGUGUAGCGGUGAAAUGCUUAGAUAUUACACAGAACACCGAUUGCGAAGGCAGCUUACUAAGCUAUAACUGACGCUGAGGCACGAAAGCAUGGGGAGCAAACGGGGAUUAGA